This 960-nucleotide unclassified non-coding RNA is filed under the name Hevea brasiliensis (rubber tree). The record is from RNAcentral. Lineage: Eukaryota; Viridiplantae; Streptophyta; Magnoliopsida; Malpighiales; Euphorbiaceae.
UGAAUCUAUAAGCUUCCCUACAUGUUCUGGACCCUCCUUAUGCUUUAUGUUUUUUUAGCCUUCCAAAUCCCAUAGAAAGAUAAAACCAAAGGCUUAUUCCUGCAGAUAUAAGCCUCAGGAUCAGGGAUUGAGGAGACUUCAGCCUAAAACACACCACUCAUUCUCUCAUCAUUGCUGCAAACAAGGGAUAUAUGCCUUUGUCCCCUUUGUUUUAAUUUGCACAAUACUUACAAACAUGGGCUUUUUGGUUCAUAGGGGGAUUUUUCUUCUUAUCUGUAUUGGGUACUUAGCUCUUCAACCACAGAAGGUUUCUAGCCUGUCAAGCAUAGAUCUUGCUCUGAGAUGGAAACAAGGGCUAUUACCACUCGCUCAAACUUCGCGCAUGUUGAGGUCUGUUGCUCUGAAGGAUUUGCAAACAUUGGCAAGUUCUGCACCUGCACCUUCAAUGGUGUUUGAUCCCAACCAGUCAAACAAAAGAACAGUUCAUAAAGGAUCAGAUCCCAUCCACAACAGAUGUUGACAGGUUGAAGCAUUUAGGCAAAGUGGAACAGAAACAGGAACUUUUCCAGCAAAGGAGGUGAUGGCUAGAGGCUAUAACUGAUGCAAGAGAGAAACAUGAGGGGGUGGGAGUCCUUUGCCUUCUUAGCCGCUUCUUAAUUGGAGUUCGUUGGAUUUUUAAUUUUUUUGUUUGUUUUUAGCCAAAGGUCUUUUUUUUUCUUUGAUUUUUUUCAGUCGAGCUGAAGAAUUGCAGCUAAAACCCCUCUGUGAGCCAGCAUCCUCUCUAUAUUGUAUAGACUUCUACAGCUGAAUACAUGAAAGAUGACGAUGCUGGCUCUCCUACACGAAAUAUAUUGCUUUUCCUAAUUUUCUCUGCAUGAAAAAAAAAUUUUUAUGUACUUUGCAUGUGACUUUGGUUAUCGUAUUUUUCAAUGAUAUACUUGCGUGAAACUUUUAUAGCAU